UAAUCCGUGUCGUCAUACCACCGCUAUCACGUAUUCGAUGGUAUUACACACGGUGGUAUUCGACUUGUUUUACUGUUGAGCGGGGCCUGCUUUCAGUGUAUUCAGCAUUUGAGAGCGGAGACGACGACUUGAUUUUGCAUGAUUUUCAUUCCUUUUCAUUUUCAUGUUUUAGAUACUUUUAUGAAUUUGGCAGGUUUGUUAACAACACUCUUGCCCGUGGUGUGUGAAAUUUAGAAGACCUAUUUCCACAUGACGGGGACUAUAACGGAAUUGUUUAUAUAUAAAUGGGAUUGUUUAUAUAUAAAUGGGAUUGCCUUAACAUGAAACGGUGACUUUGACGUGGUGUGUGAUAAAGUAACAUCCCGGUCAGUUCUGUUGGAUGGUAAGCAUUACUUGACAUCUCACUAGGAUAUGCUAGCGUGCUUUUCCUGGUAAUUGCGCAAUAAAUCGUCCUUCGUCUCCAUGUUGAAAGAGUGUCCGUUUACUUGUGCGACUCAUCAUCGCCACCAAAAUAAUCAUGGCUGCCAGCGUUUCUCUAUUAUUCUCGAACAGAGACAAACCGGUGGAAGUGCUACUAAACGAUGUCUGCCAUCUAGUGGUGUACAUUGUAGAACUUGAAACUGAUCAGGUGAAGCAUUUUUAUAAUGUUGAGAAAUUAAUCAUGGGGCCCCUUGGAGUGAUGUGGACCGCUAGUUGCCCAUCCCUGUUCAGGAUGUUUCUUUCCAGCUUCGUGGACUUUUCUUUGCAGUUAUAAAUGUGGAUUGGUGAAAGUGGACCAUUGACUGAGACUUGCUAGCUUUUUGUGAACUCUGCCUCACUUGAGUGUGAACACACUGCGUGGAUGUUCUGAAGGGUCGGCAUGCUGAGUUUUUGGAGCAGUUCUUGCCGAAGUGCUCAGUCACACGGCUGUUGUGGCUUGGGGCAUUCAGAUGAUCGGAAACAUGGAUUGCGUUUAACUGCUGGAGCAGUUCGCAGCCGAGUGUGAAACGGCUGGAAUGAGAAUCAGCACCUCCAAAUCUGAGACCGCGGUCCUCAUUCGGAAAAAGGUGGCGUGCCCUCUCCGGGUCGGGGAUGAGAUCCUGCCCCAGGUGGAGGAGUUAAAGUAUCUUGGGGUCUUUUUCACUAGUGAGGGAAGAAUGGAAUGGGAGAUCGGCAGGCGGAUCGGUGCAGUGAUGCGGACUUUGUAUCUGUCCGUUGUGGUAAAGAAGGAGCGAAGCCGAAAGGCGAAGCUCUCGAUUUACCGGUCGAUCUACGUUGCUACCCUCACCUUUGGUCACGAGCUGGGGGUUGUGACCCAAAGAACGAGAUCCCGGAUACAAGUGGCCGAAAUGAGAUUCCUUCACAGCAUGAGAAGCUCGGUCAUCCAGGAGGAUCUCAGAGUAGACCCGCUGCUCUUCCACAUCGAGAGGAGCCAGAUGAGGUGGCCGGGGCAUCUGAUUCAGAUGCCUCCCGGACGUCUCCCUGGUAAGGUGUUCCGGGCACGUCCCACCGGAAUGUGACCCCGGGGACGAACCAGGACACGCCGGAGAGACUGUCUUUCGGCUGGCCCGGCCGGGAACUCCUUGGGAUCCCCCCAGAAGAGCUGGACGAAGUGGCUGGGGAGAGGGAAGUCUGGGCGUCCCUGCAAAAGGUACUGCCCCCGUGACCCGACUUCAGAUAAGCAGUAGAAAAUAGAUGGAUGGAUGGACAGUGGCCAGUGAGACAUUUGCAAGCAUUCUUCAACGCCCACCCCACAUCGGGUAGAUCGAGCUGGAAAAGUGGGCUUUGGUGGUCUGCGUAAAAGGGGCUCUAUUUAGUGAAGUUGUGUUCCUGCUGUGCUUCAGUGGUUAUCGUUGAUGUUCUGCUGUAGCUGGUCAACUUAAGCGGUGUUAGAUGCAAUUGAAAAAGUACAAAGUAUGCCCAGCAAGAGGACAACUUGUCUUUUCAACGUCUACGCUCAACCGGGUUUCUAGUUUUCAUAUUUGUUUGAUGAAAACUAACUGAUUAAAGUACCAUGAAGCUGUUCAAGGCUGUGUUUUGAUUCAUCUUUCUCGCUCAAAUAAAACGAUCGCCCUGUUAUGCUUCUCCCAGGUGUGAUGUGCACAGUCUCAGCAGCCCAGAAGGACGAGCUGGUGCUGGAGGGCAACGAUAUUGAGCUGGUGUCAAAUUCCGCUGCUCUCAUCCAGCAGGCCACCACAGUCAAAAACAAGGACAUCAGAAAGUUCUUGGAUGGCAUUUAUGUGUCUGAGAAAGGAACAGUCGUGGAAUCGGAUAAGUAAAGUUGGAAUCUGAACUCCGGGUCAGAAAAGCAAGAUUUUCUGUGCUUGAAAUUAAACCUCAAGCUGUUGUGGUGGCCCUAACGAACCAACACGUCUUCCCUGAUAGACACCAGAAACGUCCUUUUGAAAUCCAUCAGUAUAUUCUCUGAAGACCAAUAAAGUUGGAAGAUUGUUUCAUCA
Molecule: long non-coding RNA, 2438 nt
Organism: Phyllopteryx taeniolatus (common seadragon)
Lineage: Eukaryota; Metazoa; Chordata; Actinopteri; Syngnathiformes; Syngnathidae
Exons: 2
Source: RefSeq, a predicted model, not a curated record